CGCCGACCCGAUCAUAUGGGGUGCAGGAGGAAGAGUACGACGGAGGCAGCGCCGUCGCUGGGCGGUGCCCAGCCGCCAGGACACGUAUUGUAUAUGCAAUACCUACCGUGAUGCCAAGAUUCAGCACAGAAAAAGAACUGCAGAGGCAACAAUGGUAAAGAUAGCAACAAUUUUGAUCUAAUAGUGCUCAACCUUUCCUUCAGUUUGUAGUUUUUGAUCUGGACAUUGGGUAGCUGUUAAAGCAAUCUUCUGAUAUGUUGAAUUAAUAGGUAUCCAUUUAUCUCUGGAUUAAUACGCAUUGCUCCAUGACUUGUAAAUAGAGUGAAGGUCAUAAUGCAGAUAGGUUGGCGAAAAAUAUCUUGGAUUUGGUUGGAAUGUCAUCUAUUAACAUAAUUCCAAAACAUGGGAUUCAGUAAUCUGUAACUUAAUCAUUUGCUUAUGUUUGGAUGUGUUUUCUUCUCAGGUUUCAUGUUUCAGACAACCGACUUUGUCUCAUAGACCUCUUCUUGCUGUUGAAGAUAUGCUAAUGUAUUCCACUCCAAUCAUAGCUACUGAAUAAUUUGCUUUGCUCUAGAGAAUAAAUUUUCUUGUCAAGAGAUGUCUUGCCUACAGGUCUAGCCACCAAAACUAAACUGCUAAUGAUUUGUUUAUCGGAUUUGCGUCUUAGAUUUUUAUAUAUCUCUGCCACUAGAUCAUGCCUAUUUAAUUUGCACCCUAGAUUUUCAUACUUGAAAGAAAAUCAGAAGUUUCUCAUAUUUGAGGCUGUCAAAUAGAUGCUCGGAGGUGUCGAAGGCGUGGGAGGUGUGGUUGUUUAAGCACAGCAAGUGUUAUGGCAUUUGCACCGUUUUUUUCAGUAUAACAAAGUCUGUUGGAUAAUGCUUAAUAAUUUAGUAGUAUGGUCUAUAAUUUGUGUAGUAUGAACAUCUUGCAUGCAAUCAUAUGUCUCCCUUCUCCCUUCAUGACGCUCUGCAAUGAUCUUUUUUUUUACAUUCAUAAAUGCUUUUGAAGUAAAUAACACUUUGUAUGCAGCCAUGGUUAUUAUUCCAGACCCUUAUGUUUGUCAAUGAUGGGUAAUGUCAAAUUAGUGCAAUAAAAAUAUCACACGAGAGCACUAAAUAAUUGAAAGGGUCUACAUAAACCAACUACAAAUUCUAUCGGAUAUAUCUAGAUCAAGUAUAUAAAUAGAUACUCUCAUGUCAUGGUCAAGUAGACAUAUGCAUCUUACAUUUCUCCGCCUAUUUUCUACAAGUCAUUAUGUGAGCUUUCAUUUCUAAAUGGUAUAUGUUUAGUUAUUCGUGCAAAGUUUCUGGUUUAUAUUUCAAAUUCUCCUAUGUGGGACAGAUGAUCAUGCUUUUAGCUGUAACUUUAGCUGUCCACUUUCUCAGUUUAUUAUUUUCAGUUUAGGAAACUACAAGGAUCUAUAUCAUGGUUUAAUACAACACUACUUUACAAUGGGAGAUCCUCUUUUGUGUCAGAUGUAAUUGUUGGACAUGGAUAUGUAUUUAACAGAAAGCUGUCCAAUAAAAUUUAAUGUAUUGGGUUCUAGGCAACAGUUUAUAUAACACAAAUGUUGUGCAAAUUUUACAUGCUUGCAGAUUCAAUUGACUGUGACUUUGUACCAUGUUCCUUCGGUAAUUACUGCUUAAAUAGUGUCCCGCUGAGAGUGUCACUAUGUGUUGACCAAACCAUAUGCAGCUUACAGGUAAAAUAAGUGGGUUCUGUUGUUUUGGUUCUCUGUUUUUCACUGAUGGCACUAUGCUAUCAAAUGGCCAUGAGUAACUGUUCUCUCUAUUGUUAUCUUAUAAUGUUCGAUCAGAUAAUCAGGGAUGCUAAUAAGUUCACGAGAUACUUGAAAAGAGUUCUUAAUGCUACUCCUGGUUUUGUUCAUGUUUUCAUUCUUCUACUGAAGAUAGAGUACUGCAAGUAUACUUUAGCUCAAUGGCAUGAUUAUUCUGGAUCAAGAUUUUACAUAAUGUGAAUAGAUGGCUGCCUGGUUUAGCUUAGUUUUUUUAGAUGGAGUAAACAUACAGCUUUGUAGUUUUCUUAGGUCAUAGCUACUGAUGUCUGCAGGCAUGCAAGUAAUGGUGUACUGUCCUCACAUCAUUCAUGUGGCAUAUCUCAUUUCAGAGUAGUACCUUGCUAACUGGCUGGUUGUAGUCAAGGUAAUACCCAUUUUUGAUCAUUCAAACAGCUAGGAAAUACCUGGAAAAAAAAUCAUGCUUCCAUGUACACAUGAGUCAUGUCAUUUGAGUUAGAUCUAACACGCGUCCACUCUUGAAUAUCUUAGUGUAUAUCAUAGAGAUCAUUUUUUUUCCAGGUUAGGUGUUAUACUGUUACAGAUGCAUAUUGAAUUGAGUCCCUGCAACACGGAAAAUUCAGGGCAUGGUUUAUAUCUUGCCUGAUGAAUCUAUUUUAUUUAUUACCUCCAAUGGGCGGAGAAAUGGGUUAUGUUUUCUCCUUCUCUGAUAUACAAAUAUGUAUAGGUCACAGGAGGUCUUUACGUGUUCUUCUGUUUGUUAGUACAAAAAUAAGGAACUGAGAGAAGACACUCUUGCAAAUUAUGCAUUCCAUUUAGCUGGUGAACAAUUACCGAACUGGUAGACCUGUCUUGAUAUUUGUUUUCUUGGAGCGCCACAUCCUAUUUGUAUGUAACAUUCUGCUCAUUUGAUUUACCACUUCUCUUAGUAUCAUACUGAUUUUUUUGUUCUUCGAAUAUGCUGCCCUUGGUGCUUCUGGUCUUCCUAUUUCGUUACUCACCGUUUUGAAGAGAUUCAUACUGACUAUUGAGUAAGUGACAACAAGCUGUGAAAAUAGAACGAAGGCAUGAGGCAUAUUCUUACCUGAAUGAAAUGACCCGAGUGUCGACCAUUUAAGAACAUGGCAUUUUAUUAGCCGGGAGGCUAGAGUGGGGCCCAAGUUUAACUUAAUGAAGCCCACACAACAGAAGAUGGCAUUUCAUGAUGGGCGAACUGCAAUAGUGCUACACAAGGAGAUGACCCAAAAGGCAAAACGAAGGUGGACUUGGGUUGCACUGCAACCUUGAGGAUACCAAGACCGGGGACACAUCAGAAGACUCAAAUCUCUCUAGCUUAGAAGCCACUUCCUGAAGGUUUUAUAAAGGCUAACACCGAUGCUUGCUUCAUUGAUGAAUCUGGGGUUGAUAGCGCUGGACUGGUUGGCUGGGAUCACCUGGGAAGUGUCACUUCUACGCAGCCUGUCCGAUGAGAGGACGAAUCAGAGCUGAAGAAGCAGAAGUUGAGGUACUACAGGGCAUGCAACUCAGCGUGAACUUUGGCUGUAGGAGCAUUGUGACAAAGUCUCAGAGAGCCAGACGGUGGUUAACACAGAUCAAUUCCAAUCUGUGCAGCCUCUCUGCCUCAAGUAUGAUUGUUGGGUAGAGUGUUGAGCAGUGUGUGAUCAAACCUUUGUAAUCGAUUGUAAUACUCGAGUGACAAUAAUGUAUAAGCACAUUUUCAUCUUAAAAAUAAGAAGACAAAUAGAAUUGAAAAUCUAGCUUCGUGAGCUAGAGGCAAA
Molecule: long non-coding RNA, 3534 nt
Organism: Lolium rigidum
Lineage: Eukaryota; Viridiplantae; Streptophyta; Magnoliopsida; Poales; Poaceae
Exons: 3
Source: RefSeq, a predicted model, not a curated record